This 1540-nucleotide ribosomal RNA is filed under the name Escherichia coli. RNAcentral's name for it is "bacterial SSU rRNA". It matches the Rfam family "Bacterial small subunit ribosomal RNA". The record is from RNAcentral. Lineage: Bacteria; Pseudomonadati; Pseudomonadota; Gammaproteobacteria; Enterobacterales; Enterobacteriaceae.
UUGAAGAGUUUGAUCAUGGCUCAGAUUGAACGCUGGCGGCAGGCCUAACACAUGCAAGUCGAACGGUAACAGGAAGCAGCUUGCUGCUUCGCUGACGAGUGGCGGACGGGUGAGUAAUGUCUGGGAAACUGCCUGAUGGAGGGGGAUAACUACUGGAAACGGUAGCUAAUACCGCAUAACGUCGCAAGACCAAAGAGGGGGACCUUCGGGCCUCUUGCCAUCGGAUGUGCCCAGAUGGGAUUAGCUUGUUGGUGGGGUAACGGCUCACCAAGGCGACGAUCCCUAGCUGGUCUGAGAGGAUGACCAGCCACACUGGAACUGAGACACGGUCCAGACUCCUACGGGAGGCAGCAGUGGGGAAUAUUGCACAAUGGGCGCAAGCCUGAUGCAGCCAUGCCGCGUGUAUGAAGAAGGCCUUCGGGUUGUAAAGUACUUUCAGCGGGGAGGAAGGGAGUAAAGUUAAUACCUUUGCUCAUUGACGUUACCCGCAGAAGAAGCACCGGCUAACUCCGUGCCAGCAGCCGCGGUAAUACGGAGGGUGCAAGCGUUAAUCGGAAUUACUGGGCGUAAAGCGCACGCAGGCGGUUUGUUAAGUCAGAUGUGAAAUCCCCGGGCUCAACCUGGGAACUGCAUCUGAUACUGGCAAGCUUGAGUCUCGUAGAGGGGGGUAGAAUUCCAGGUGUAGCGGUGAAAUGCGUAGAGAUCUGGAGGAAUACCGGUGGCGAAGGCGGCCCCCUGGACGAAGACUGACGCUCAGGUGCGAAAGCGUGGGGAGCAAACAGGAUUAGAUACCCUCUGGUAGUCCACGCCGUAAACGAUGUCGACUUGGAGGUUGUGCCCUUGAGGCGUGGCUUCCGGAGCUAACGCGUUAAGUCGACCGCCUGGGGAGUACGGCCGCAAGGUUAAAACUCAAAUGAAUUGACGGGGGCCCGCACAAGCGGUGGAGCAUGUGGUUUAAUUCGAUGCAACGCGAAGAACCUUACCUGGUCUUGACAUCCACGGAAGUUUUCAGAGAUGAGAAUGUGCCUUCGGGAACCGUGAGACAGGUGCUGCAUGGCUGUCGUCAGCUCGUGUUGUGAAAUGUUGGGUUAAGUCCCGCAACGAGCGCAACCCUUAUCCUUUGUUGCCAGCGGUCCGGCCGGGAACUCAAAGGAGACUGCCAGUGAUAAACUGGAGGAAGGUGGGGAUGACGUCAAGUCAUCAUGGCCCUUACGACCAGGGCUACACACGUGCUACAAUGGCGCAUACAAAGAGAAGCGACCUCGCGAGAGCAAGCGGACCUCAUAAAGUGCGUCGUAGUCCGGAUUGGAGUCUGCAACUCGACUCCAUGAAGUCGGAAUCGCUAGUAAUCGUGGAUCAGAAUGCCACGGUGAAUACGUUCCCGGGCCUUGUACACACCGCCCGUCACACCAUGGGAGUGGGUUGCAAAAGAAGUAGGUAGCUUAACCUUCGGGAGGGCGCUUACCACUUUGUGAUUCAUGACUGGGGUGAAGUCGUAACAAGGUAACCGUAGGGGAACCUGCGGUUGGAUCACCUCCUU